Molecule: ribosomal RNA, 474 nt
Filed under: Acrapex kavumba
Lineage: Eukaryota; Metazoa; Arthropoda; Insecta; Lepidoptera; Noctuidae
Description: partial large subunit ribosomal RNA
Source: RNAcentral
UGUCUUUUUGAAAAUAAUUUAAAGUCUAAUCUGCCCACUGAUUAAAAUUGAAGGGCUGCAGUAUAUUGACUGUACAAAGGUAGCAUAAUCAUUAGUCAUUUAAUUGAUGACUUGUAUGAAAGAUUGGAUGAGAUAUAUACUGUCUCUUAUUUAAUUAUAAAAUUUAAUUUUUUUAUUAAAAAGUUAAAAUAAUUUAAAAAGACGAGAAGACCCUAUAGAGUUUAAUAAAUAAUUAAUUUGAUUUUAUUUUGAAAUUUAAUAUUGAAAAUUAUUUAUUUAUUUUAUUGGGGUGAUAGAAAAAUAAAUAAAACUUUUUUUAAAAUAAAACAUUUAUAAGUGAUUAAAUGAUCCAAUAAUAUUGAUUAUAAGAAAAAAUUACCUUAGGGAUAACAGCGUAAUUUUUUUUUUUAGUUCAAAUAAGAAAAAGAGUUUGCGACCUCGAUGUUGGAUUAAGAUAAAAUUUGAAUGCAGAAG